This 7931-nucleotide long non-coding RNA is filed under the name Homo sapiens (human). Its description in RNAcentral is "long independently transcribed non-coding RNA 2923 (LINC02923)". Lineage: Eukaryota; Metazoa; Chordata; Mammalia; Primates; Hominidae. The record is from RNAcentral.
GUCAUUGCAAGAGGAGUCCGAAUCCCAGCGUUGCUGGACUGGAGAGAGGCUGGAACCUGCAGCAGCGGGCCGGGAUGCCGCUGAGCUGCCGAAGUGGAAGUUUCGCAGGCAGCAGCAGCUCGGCGUCCUCCACGGUCUGGUCCCUCCAGCGCCGAGGUCUCGCCUAAUGCUACAUAAAUACCUGCGUCCACGAUUCGCCCGGGGCGCGCCGCGGCGCAAGCACGGGAGGGAGGGAGGAGAACGUUUGCAGAGCGGCGGGGAUGGCAGCGGCGGCGGCGGCAGCUCCUUACCCAUCAGCAUCUCUGGGGGCCCGCGCGAGGGCCCGCCAACGGACCGCGUCUGCCGCUUGGUUCCACAGCCCAGGGACGACAACUGGCUUCUCAGCGGGUGGACCCAGGCAUCCGAGACUCGCGCGUGGCCGCCACCCCCUCCUCCGAGACGGCUGGCCGCAGGCAGGCAGCGCGUCCCCGCCUUCCCCAGGCAACGCAGAGGCGACCUGCCCUAAGAGCCACCUCCGACCUACCCCGGCUCCCAGCCCCGCGCUCCGGCCCCAGGCGAGCACGUCCCUCCCUUGGGGCCCGGGGCCGACGCUGCCCAGCGCGGGCACCCGCGCGGCGACCGCAGAUAACCCUAGCGCUCUCAGCCCGCUCCAGGCCACGGAGACCGGGACGCGAGCCCUGGGCUCCCCCGGCCCCCCGAGGCCAUCGGGGCGCGCGUUCACACUCCCACACUACACAUCUCCAGGUCCACCCUGUCCCACACAUCAACAACCCCUCCCCAACGACACCACCUCCUGGCCGCUUCGCCGUCCCCGUGAGCUCUCCUUUCCGCGUCCCCCCACAACACGCUGGCACCCACAAGGUGUCAAGGGAAGUGUGCGUGUGUGUGUCGGGGUGGGGUGGGUCACAAUAAGGUCUGUGCGGGUUCCCUCCCGACGGUUUUCGAGCUCAUCUACCUCGAAAGUUACUUGGGAUUGAGUAAAGAGACCCAGUCCCCAAAUGCGAGAUCAGAGGACGCGAGGGGCAGAAAACCCCAACCUGGCUUCUCGCUGCACAGAGGCGCGCACCUCCCCAAAGGACAGUGCGCGCGGCCGCCCCUGGGGGCCAGCCCUCCGUCGCCUCCAGGUCUCCUGCCCGGCCGGGGCCCUGGGCCGCUCAGGGGAACGUGGCCUGGAGAGGGGCGCGCGCCGCCGGGCCCAGCAGGGGGGCUGCUCCGGCCAGGGGUCACACAAGCCUCCAGCACCUCCGAACACCGUGACAGUGGCCCCAGGCAGCCCCGGUGCAUACACACCCGGGGGCAGGAAGUUUUUUCCCCCCCUUUUUUUCCCCCUGGAGCAGCGCAGGCGCAAGGGCUCCUGCAGCCUGCGAGUCCAGACGCGGGAGGCUCCUGUCGCCGCCGCCGCCGCCGAAGCCGAGCCCAGGGUUCCGGGUUCCGGCCCCGCUCCCACGCCCGGCCCGGCCCGGCCCCACGCGGCGGCCAGGACCUGGGUCUCCCUCCGGCGCCGCAUCCGAGGCGCUCCAGCCCGGCCCGGCUCUUACCUCCGGCGCGCGGCUCCGGCCCCGGCCCGACGCGCAGAGAGCCCGGGGUCGCGGGUGGGCGCAGGAGGGCUGAUGGAGAGCGGACAGCGCCGGCGGGUAGCGGUGGCUGGGGCCGCUCGGGUCCUGGCCGGAGGAAACGGAUCCAGGUCCUCCUCCUCGCGUUCCUGCUCUCCGCCUUCUCCCCUCGUUCCUCCUCCUCCUCCGCCGCCGCCGCCUCCCGGCAGCCCAGGGAGGAUGCCCGGGAGAGGGAAGUCGGUCCUCCUGCCUGUCAGCCUGUGCGGCUAUGAGCGGUGCGGCGCGGCUCUCAUCGAGGCGGCGGCGGCGGCGGCGGCUCCGGCAGCAUCGCCCCCGCCCUCUCCCCGCAGCCGCGGCGGCCGCGGGGCUGGGGCUGGCUCCGGGCUCGCGGCUCGGGCUCCGGGCGGGGGCUGCGCUCAAGCGCGGCGACCGCCGGGGCUGCGGACGGGCGCUGCGGAGCCGGGGCCGGGGCUGGAGCUGCGGCGAGAUCCGCGGUGGCGGGGACGGCGGCGGCGGCGCGGGGGCUGGCGCGGCCGCGGCGCGGGGACCAUGCUCCCUUCUGGCUCGCUCCGCUCCGGGUACCGUCUGCUUUAGCUGCGAGGGAGGCGGGCUUCGGCGCGCAGCCAGGGGCGGGCGGAGCCAAUCACGGGCGCCCGAGUGGGCGGGGGUGGCGGGUGGGGGAGGCGGGGCCCUCUGGCCCGGCCCGGCCAGGCCGGGCCCCGUGCGCAGUUUCCCCGGCCCGAGGGAUUCCCGGCUGCCGCGCGCCGGGUCCGAGGUUGGAGUGCUCGCGGGUGUGUCCGUCGGUCCGUCCGUCCGCCGCCCCCGCCCCCCGCGGUGGCCCCCGGCUCGCCUGGCUCCGCGGCCGCGCCCGGCAGACGCACGGCGCGUGGCACGGGCUGCUCCGCCGUGGCCUCCUGGCCUUGCUGGCCCAGGGUUGGGGGCCCGGGACUGAGGCGAGCUCCCCGUCUGCUCUCAACACCUGAGGAAACUGGCGGAAAAGUUUGAGAAGGAAAAAGUCCAAUCGUCUUUCAGCUUCCGCCCUCUUUAUGACACUCCAGCCUUGGAAAGGAGCAGGAAUUGUCCACACCUCUGAAGGACCAGGGAGAGCCCUGCAAAGUGUCCACCAGCCUUCUGAGUCAGCCCUGCCUCUCCUGGGGCGCGCGACUUUUCUGUUCAUACUGACCCUUAGGAAUCCAGGAAGCCUUCUCUGUUUAACAGCCUGACCAGCCUUUGAUGUCUAUACCGACUACUCACCCCCACCACAGCUCGCUCUCUCUCACACUGUCUACACUGACUUCUCAGUCCCACCACCUCUCGGUCUACACAUGCUGUCUACACAGACCCUAACUUCUAACCCUAAUAGAAGAGAUUUGGCCAGAGGCGUGUGGGACCCCCAAUGAGGGCUUUUCCAUUAUGCUAGAAUAUUUCACUCUGGGCACAGUCUUCUCCACCCCGACCGCUCUCCUAAUCUGGUUUUUAUUCCCCGACCUCUCCCUCCUCCCCUACAUCCCCUUUACCUGGUUUUGAGUUUCAGAGGAAAUAUCUGUACCUGCCCUCCUCCUCCACCCCUGUCUGAAUGUAAAGGCCUGAGGGCCCAAUCCUCAUCCUCCACCCUCCCUCCGCUCCCCCGGGUAAAGGCCUGAGGCCUGAGGCCUUGCUAGAAAUUGGAGUUGGGGUGCUGUAGGUAGUGUGGGGAGCUGGCUGUGGGGGCCCAGCUGGGAGGAGCUGGCCUGGGGAGGGCUUUGCCAGUCCUUGCCUCCAUCUACCAGGGCCAAGGAGGACUGAGCCGGUAAAUAUUUUCUUCUCAGCUCCCCCCCUGUGAUGUCUGAUCCAGGCCUCUGCUCUCCUUGGCUGUAAACUCAGCGCACGGAUUGUGUCUUCUUUAAUAUUUUGUAGGAAGCAGAGUACAGUGUCGUGGCUGAUAAAUAAUAAAUAAUAAUAAUCUACUGAGGGUAGCAGGAGCACUGUCAGAAAUGGAAUGAGGACGCCGGGGAAAUGGCCCACUAGUGUCAGAAUAACUGCAUUUCCUGGAAAAAACAUCCAACAGAGUUUGUGUGUGUGAAGCCCGGGACUCAAGGGAGGGGACAGAGCGGAGCACUUCAGGGAGGAAGCCACCCUUCAUGAGGACGACAGCCAGGAAAACUGGCGUGACCUUAAGAGAGGGUGACAGAGGUGCCGAAAAGGGGAGCAGGAGUGGGGGGGAGGGGGAGAAAAGCUCCCCAAGGGUCCUCAGACAACACCUGAAGGUGAUCGAUAGCUUUGGUUUGAGUACUAUGUCCUUCAAAUGGUAUAUGAAAAGUGAUAGAAGAGUACUAGAUAGCAAAAUGGAAAAAAGAGGGAUUUCUUGGGAUUUCAAAUUGAUACACAGGUCAACCCAAUGCAAAAAGAAGGAGAACAAAGCCACAGGCGUGUGUCUGUUCAUCCACGCUGUAGGAAGCUGUCCUCUGAGAUAAUCUCCAUGGAUGCACUGACUGUGAACAUGCAGAAGUCCACCCAGCCGUAUUCUGGAGUAGCGCCCUAUGUGACAGCUGUAGGCACUACAGAAAUGUGGCCAAGGUUUGCAGGGUCUGGGAUAGGUUAAGAUCUGGCAAUGUGAGGCACUCACAGUGUCUUACAGAUGAUUUUGAAUGAUCCUCAGUUGAAAGAAGAAAAUAGGAACUCCAAGAAUCCUUAUUCAGCUACCUCUCCAGAUGAAGGAGAAAGGAUGCUCCCAAUUUCCCUGCUGGCAGCAUCAGAAAAGAGAGCUGUGCUGAGGUCUUAUCCAGAGGAGGACCUACUCGGGCCAUGGUGGUGCGAAGGGCGCUGGUUCUGGGGCACCGCAAACUCUUCAGGGCUGAAGUUUGGUAACAGCUCACCAGGGGAGCCAGCUUGUCAGGGAGAAUGAGAAAAGCUGUGUGAAUUAGACUCCCAGUGGGCUUGUCUACCCUGUCCUCACCCAUCCUCGUUUUAUCCAAGGCUUCCUCGUCAUUGAUGCUCUGCCCUGCUGGGAGCUGUUUAGUGUGGACACAGCCAUUUAUGAAGGGUCUGCGCUGGUCUGCAUAUGAGUUCCAUUUCAGAGUGCUGUUGUUCACAUGAUCUGUCCCAGCGCAUCUAGUGUCUUGGCAACAUAAACUGGAUUUGCAUUGUGUCAGGGGUCUCCUCUCUCUCUCUCUCUACGUAGAUCUUGCUGGUGUCUGGGAUCUUUUUUGGGUCAUUCUUUGCUCUACUCUGUGGCCCAUGGGAUGGGCCCCAUGACUGGCAUGGAUCUCUCUGUGUGGUUCAUGGGACUCGUGUGUUGUGCCCAGAAACCUCUUACACCAUGGUCAAAGAUUUCUCCAUGAAACACAGGAUUGACUUGGUGGUGUGUUCUCCAAAAGCCAACCCUCCCUGUCCUGAGCCCCAAUCUGGGCACUGGGAUCAGGACUAAUGUGUACACUCCAAGCAGAUGGGUAGUGAAGGAGCGGACUCAUAGUGCAUAGGGAAGUGGACUGGAACACUCCAGGACAUCCAUUCCCCGCUCAGAUCAUAGACCAUUAUCUGUGCAGUCAAUCAGACAAGGACUUGUACUGGAAAGGCCACCAUCACCCAAGGAGGAACCAGAGGAAGUCACAUCAGGAACACCUGGGGUGCCACAUAAACCCACAGUGGCCAAGGUGGACUUCUGUCCUUGUCUGUGUUUAUGAUAAUAGCCACAACAAAAGGACCUUUACCCAGUGGCUACUAUAUGUCAGGCACUGUACCAAGAACUCUACCCAUGAUAUCUUGUUAAUCCUCACAGCAACCUGUGGAAUUGGUGUUAUCAGCCCCCAAAACUGAGUUCCAGAGAGGGUAGAUGAGAACCUGCAAUCACACAGUAAGUGACAGUGCUGGAAUUUCAGCCUGAUUGUCCCAAAGCCUCUGUUCUUUUUACCCCACCAAACACACAAAUGCAGUUUCUUUUGUCAUUAGCCCAGUGCUUUUCCCUUGGAGUAGAUACAGUAGAUGCUGAUUUUUGCCUUCAUCAGCAAAAGUCUUUACCCCAGACACAUAACUGGAGAUCAGUCAUAGAACAGAGAGCACUAAUGUAGAAGGGCACAGGUCCCUUUGAUUACUGAACACUCAGGUCACUCGGAAGAGUGGAAGCCUCAUCAGAAACCUUCGGGUUUGACAGGACAUCUGUUUCCAGGAGCACGGUGGGUGUAAACAGAGCAGCUGCCAGCCUCUGUCCUGGUUGGGGUUUUGUGUUUGCUGGUUUUUCUUUUUUUUUUUUUUUAAACACAUUAUACUCUAUUAAAACCACCCCUAUUUGGCAUCAAAAGCAUUAAUAAAUCCCACAUAAGGCACAGUCCCUCCAGUGGUUAAUCAAUCCAUAAAAAUCUAUUUAGCACCUACUGUGUGUCCAGCAUUUCAAUCCCAUGACGUUGAUUAAAGCAGGAAGUAAGGAGUCACAGCUGCCAAAUUUUCACCAUGGCCACCGUGCUCUGUGAUGUGUCACAAAGGCAUUUGCCAAUCAUGCAAUCAACCAUUUACUGAGAACCUGCUUUGUUGCUCAACUCUGUGCUGGCGACUCUCAGGAAGACAGGGAAGGGCUACCUGGUUUCUGCCUGAGCAGCAAGUGAUGAAGGAGAGUGAGCGUAUGAGAGAGUAAGAGAGUGAGCCCAAUCGUGGACUGACCACACAAUUGACCCUGGUUUACUGUGAGAAAGGACACAGACUGUGAACACCAGGAGCUUGACUACAUUUCCCAGCGUCCUUUGGAGUGAGACUACAUCUCCCAGCAUCCUGGCAGUUAGACAAUUUUCUAGUCUCCUUUGCAGGGAUCUUGGAAGCCCCAUGUUGAAGGUGGCAGAGCAACAAAAAUUGAGGAAACCCUGAAUCCCUGAAUUACUAUUUGGAGAUGACCACCCACUAAUUCGGAACACUCAUUAUUGGGCUUUAGGAGAAUGAGAAGUUCUAUCAUGUUUGAGACUCCGUACAUCUUUGGAUUUGUUUUAACAGCUAGUUUUACCCUGGCUAACAUGGCAAUUGACAGCCUCUGAGAGGAGAUUUGGAGAAUCUGCUUUUUUAACAAGUACUCCAGGGGAGUUUGAGAAUCACUGCUGAAAGCCAAGGGGAGCCAGCCACCCAAGGAUUUAACGCUGACCAAGGAACACCACGCUAUUUGCAUUUUAGAAUGACAGCAAGGGAGCAGAACUCUGCCCCCUUCUUGUCUGCCAAGGAGAACAAUCUACUGACUCAAAAGAAAAAGAAAACUUUGGUAAGAGAAAAUUGAAGCUCUAGAUGAGUGAAAAGAUUCUAACAGCACCAAGCUGCCGUAAAUGAGCUCAAGUCUCCUGGCCAGGACAAAUUACACUCCAGGGAGUAGAGAGAACUCGCCUCUGAAGCUGUAAAGCCUCUGCUGAUAAUCUUUACAGAACAUGGAGACUGUGAAAGAAAUUGGAACGCUAGAAAUGGCAAAAUAUAGCUCUGAUUAGUAAAGAGGGGGAAAGCUUCUGCAAACUACAAAAGUGGGGCUAUCCUAUCCAUCCUCAUUAAAUUCCCUGAUCAGACUACUUAAGGCUGAGCUGUGAGUACGUGAAAAAUGGAGCAGAAUCCUCUAGAAGCCUGUGUGGGUUCUUUAAGAGCAAGCCACGACAAGAUGAAAAAACAAGAGCCUAAAGAAGGGAGGCAACUUUUCCAAAGCCACACAUUAAACCUGUGGCAGUUAAGAGCCAGAACUGUGGUAUCCUGGCCCUCAGCCCCACACCUCUACUGCAAUACCUGGGAUGUGGGCCCAUGGAUUGAUUUAUGGAUUUUGACUAACAUAUCUUCAAUUGAGCAAUCACUCGGAUGAUCGAUUGAACACUCCUUCACCAAACAAGGCUGGAGGCCUGGGAUGGACGCCGGUGGUUUGAGAUAUGCAGAAGAAAUGGGUCCUGCCCUCCGGAACACUCCAGAGAAUAUCAUGGCACUUUAUAACAUCAGUGUCAAUCAGCAUUGAUUGACAAGCCCCCUGGACUUUGGAUGACUUCUCUGAAGCCCCAGCUGUGCCUGGCUGGGCCAUCUCCCUUCUCCACUUGGCCACAGCAUAAACUGCAGUCAAGCCACAGGAGUGACCUCAAGGCCUCAGGCCACUUUUCCAGCCUCAGCUUUUCUUAGGGGCCCAGCCCACUUACAAUAGAAAUUUGCCAAAGACUGGGUUGGUAAGUAAUGGAUAAGUUUUCAUAUUUACUAUUUUCAUUUCUGAAUCUCUCUUUACAUGCAGUUAAGCCAGGAAAUCCUGAAAGAACACUCUUCAGAAUGUUUUUAAGUAAAACAACAAGUUUCUGUUAAUUUAGGGCCAACCCAUGAGUAAACAGAUAGAGCCUGAGGUAUUCUGCACCCUGUAAUUUGUGGACUUCUUAGGAUCUUUUAAAAUAAAGAUGAAUAGUGGGUGGUAAA